This 637-nucleotide ribosomal RNA is filed under the name Bradyrhizobium sp. RNAcentral's name for it is "bacterial SSU rRNA". It matches the Rfam family "Bacterial small subunit ribosomal RNA", at positions 75 to 752 of the family's 1533-position model. Lineage: Bacteria; Pseudomonadati; Pseudomonadota; Alphaproteobacteria; Hyphomicrobiales; Nitrobacteraceae. The record is from RNAcentral.
CGUAGCAAUACGUCAGCGGCAGACGGGUGAGUAACGCGUGGGAACGUACCUUUUGGUUCGGAACAACACAGGGAAACUUGUGCUAAUACCGGAUAAGCCCUUACGGGGAAAGAUUUAUCGCCGAAAGAUCGGCCCGCGUCUGAUUAGCUAGUUGGUAGGGUAACGGCCUACCAAGGCGACGAUCAGUAGCUGGUCUGAGAGGAUGAUCAGCCACAUUGGGACUGAGACACGGCCCAAACUCCUACGGGAGGCAGCAGUGGGGAAUAUUGGACAAUGGGCGCAAGCCUGAUCCAGCCAUGCCGCGUGAGUGAUGAAGGCCCUAGGGUUGUAAAGCUCUUUUGUGCGGGAAGAUAAUGACGGUACCGCAAGAAUAAGCCCCGGCUAACUUCGUGCCAGCAGCCGCGGUAAUACGAAGGGGGCUAGCGUUGCUCGGAAUCACUGGGCGUAAAGGGUGCGUAGGCGGGUCUUUAAGUCAGGGGUGAAAUCCUGGAGCUCAACUCCAGAACUGCCUUUGAUACUGAGGAUCUUGAGUUCGGGAGAGGUGAGUGGAACUGCGAGUGUAGAGGUGAAAUUCGUAGAUAUUCGCAAGAACACCAGUGGCGAAGGCGGCUCACUGGCCCGAUACUGACGCUGAGGC